GCGAGCCGGGACUGGGAUGAGAUGACGUUGAAACUGCAUGCAUGGGCCGGCCGGGAUGCUACGCUUCUAGACGUAUCAGUACCGCGUCGGGUCCGGUCCGGUCCCCACCCGUCCUAAACACCGUACGCGCUCAAUUUAUUUGGUUGCAUGCAUGCAUGCAAGUGCAACAAUGCUAUGGGAUGUCACUUACAAACCGCAUGAGAAGAAGAAAAAAUUGGAACAUGGAUGUACGUAUGACAGUUUAUUAACCGGUUCCGCUGAAAGCAGGUAACAUCCGGCCGGGCCUAAUAAAAUACGUACGGGCCCGUAAUCCUCGUCGGACGUUCCAACGUGCGCAUGCGUGUUGAUCUGUUAUGAUUAAACAUGCUCGUUGCUAGCUAGCUACGGAGUAUGAUCUAUAUUUCAUUCGUCCAAGCUCUGCUUAAACUAUAUUUCAGAAAAGGGCGUUUCAGAAAAAACAACAUUAACCGCUUCUAAUCUUGCGAGACCCAAGCGCGUGAUUGUAUUCGAUCGUUUUCCUUUAUCUGUCCCGUUUCGUUCCGCGUUGCUUCCUCCAUAUCUUCCUGUUCCUUUCAUUCGCGGCAGACGCGGUAAGAAUAUAGGCCGAUCGAUCGAUCGAUCACUUAUCUGUAAAUUCUUAUUUGGAACACGUACUUUAUAUCUGCAGUACUGUAUAUCCAGAAUUCCAGAUGGCUCCUGCCGGUUGCUGUGUUUUUUUUUUUUAGAAUCGCCGGUUGCUGUGUGUGUGUGUCUUGAAUUGCUUGCCGCAGUCACAGUCGCAGCCCACUCGGAAAAGCGCGUCAAGUGUACUGUGUACGUAGGCUCCCAAACGGGCCCGUGUUUGGUUGUGCACUUGUGCGACAGGCACUGGCUAGUCUUUUUUUUUUCUUGAGAUGUUUUUUUUUUGAAGAAUUCUUGAGAUGUUGUAGCAAAGCAUUAGAGACAGGCAGACGUCGAUCUGAACCUGUACGGCUUUAGAUAAAACACGCGUGAACCCUGUGCUGCAGAUUAAUAAAUCCAAGAGGGCCUGAUCUCACGUGGGAAGACGCGAGGCCCUGUCAGGCAUUUCCUUUACGCUUGUGACGUACCUGGCCUAAUCGUUAAACGGUAAAUUCUUAUUGGCUUUGCGCAAACAGCAAAGCCUGGAUUCUUCUUCCUUCGAAACGAAUCCUCCAGCAAGUCAGCAACUAGCAAUGAGUCGGCUCGGUGACUUGAGUAGCCACUUAAUCUAGCAAACGGACACGAAGGGAUACAAGCUAGGGACGGUAGACGGUAGUAUUCCCGUUUUCCGGUCAAGAAAAUCACCGGCCGGGCAGUACCGCAGUACUACCACAAAGCACACACGGCGCUCGGAAGUGAGUGCGCGACGUGUUCUCGAAGGUCGUCGACCAACCCCCUGCGAGUACUAUACUUGCACGGUGUUUAAUUCUCGUCUUCAUCUGUUUCCCCAAACAAAGAAAAAUCUCUUCGAUCGAUCGUCCCACCCUUAUCUCUUUGCCUUAUCAGGUUCCUGGAACGUUCCGCGAGAGGAAAUGUAGGGAUAUAUAUAUUCUCGUUAACCUGCGCUCGUUUCUUCCUUUUGCGUACUGAAUUGAAGUGUCAAGUGUCAACUACGUCCAGAAAGUCAGAUAUGCAUGAUCGAGAUGUACGUAUACAUAGAAGGUUCCAACAUAUGAUUUGCUGGUUAACUGAAUUCUGAGACACGCCCAUAUAUGACCGUAUCGAACAAACACAUAAUUUGCUGGUUCUCAUCAGGUUUGCUAUUGAGAAGUUGCUUGUUUUUAAAUUAGAAAUCAGCCGACAUGUUUGACCGUCGGAUUUUAAUUCAACGAUAGCAAGUGGAAGAGAAAAGAGUGAUGAUGACUUUUAGAUCUUGACCCAACUGUUC
Molecule: long non-coding RNA, 1888 nt
Filed under: Brachypodium distachyon (stiff brome)
Lineage: Eukaryota; Viridiplantae; Streptophyta; Magnoliopsida; Poales; Poaceae
Description: long non-coding RNA (BDIS_LNC000897)
Source: RNAcentral